RNAcentral lists this unclassified non-coding RNA (347 nucleotides) under soil metagenome. RNAcentral describes it as "partial contains 5.8S ribosomal RNA, internal transcribed spacer 2, and large subunit ribosomal RNA". The stretch from base 1 to 120 matches the Rfam family "5.8S ribosomal RNA", at positions 35 to 154 of the family's 154-position model. The record is from RNAcentral.
GAUGAAGAACGUAGUGAAAUGCGAUAAUUAAUGUGAAUUGCAGAAUUCAGUGAAUCAUCGAGUCUUUGAACGCCCAUUGCGCCCCCUGGUAUUCCGGGGGGCAUGCCUGUCCGAGCGUCAUUGCUGCCCUCAAGCACGGCUUGUGCGUUGGGCUUCCGUCCCUGGCAACGGGGACGGGCCCAAAAGGCAGUGGCGGCACCAUGUCUGGUCCUCGAGCGUAUGGGGCUUUGUCACCCGCUCCCGUAGGUCCAGCUGGCAGCUAGCCUCGCAACCAAUCUUUUUAACCAGGUUGACCUCGGAUCAGGUAGGGAUACCCGCUGAACUAAAGCAUAUCAAUAAGCGGAGGA